CUUGUGUACAAUGAAACUAUCUGUACUGUACUGUGUACUACUGAGGUAAAGUCUGUAAACAUAAUUCUGGGAAUAAAAACAUGAA
Long non-coding RNA from Haliotis rubra (blacklip abalone), 85 nucleotides. RefSeq lists it as uncharacterized. The record is from RefSeq and is a predicted model, not a curated record. Lineage: Eukaryota; Metazoa; Mollusca; Gastropoda; Lepetellida; Haliotidae. The transcript is spliced from 2 exons.